UAUGUAGGGUGCAAGCGUUGUCCGGAAUUAUUGGGCGUAAAGAGCUCGUAGGCGGUCUGUCGCGUCGGCUGUGAAAACCCGGGGCUCAACCCCGGGCCUGCAGUCGAUACGGGAAGACUAGAGUGCGGUAGGGGAGACUGGAAUUCCUGGUGUAGCGGUGAAAUGCGCAGAUAUCAGGAGGAACACCGGUGGCGAAGGCGGGUCUCUGGGCCGUAACUGACGCUGAGGAGCGAAAGCGUGGGGAGCGAACAGG
Molecule: ribosomal RNA, 253 nt
Filed under: uncultured bacterium
Lineage: Bacteria
Description: partial 16S ribosomal RNA
Rfam family: Bacterial small subunit ribosomal RNA
Source: RNAcentral